RNAcentral lists this ribosomal RNA (429 nucleotides) under Gemmatimonadota bacterium. Its description in RNAcentral is "Gemmatimonadetes bacterium partial 16S ribosomal RNA". It matches the Rfam family "Bacterial small subunit ribosomal RNA", at positions 355 to 776 of the family's 1533-position model. Lineage: Bacteria; Pseudomonadati; Gemmatimonadota. The record is from RNAcentral.
UAGGGAAUCUUCGGCAAUGGACGAAAGUCUGACCGAGCAACGCCGCGUGAGUGAAGAAGGUUUUCGGAUCGUAAAACUCUGUUGUUAGAGAAGAACAAGGACGUUAGUAACUGAACGUCCCCUGACGGUAUCUAACCAGAAAGCCACGGCUAACUACGUGCCAGCAGCCGCGGUAAUACGUAGGUGGCAAGCGUUGUCCGGAUUUAUUGGGCGUAAAGCGAGCGCAGGCGGUUUCUUAAGUCUGAUGUGAAAGCCCCCGGCUCAACCGGGGAGGGUCAUUGGAAACUGGGAGACUUGAGUGCAGAAGAGGAGGGUGGAAUUCCAUGUGUAGCGGUGAAAUGCGUAGAUAUAUGGAGGAACACCAGUGGCGAAGGCGGCUCUCUGGUCUGUAGCUGACGCUGAGGCUCGAAAGCGUGGGGAGCAAACAGG